CUAUUUUGAAGUGCUGAUUUGAUUGAACAGGGUUUGCAAUAAUCAGGCCUGUUUGCAUCUAGUCCAGCUGAACACCAUUAUGAAUGCAGUUUCAUAGUUUUGAGGUAUUAAUAACUAUGUGGGCAGAUAUAUUUUCAAACAGACCCAGUUGGUAUUGGAUAUCUUUUUUGCUACACUUAAUAACAUUAUCAUUUAAAACUGUGUGUUGUGUUUACUCAGGUUGCCUUUGUGUCACGAUGGAGAGGCAGAAAUGGAUGCAAGUGCAGUUUACACAGUUAAACAAUGUCCAGCAAACAAUUCCGAAUAGAAAGGAUGAUUCAGAGUCAAGGCAGGCACAAAGGGUCAAGCGAUCAGCAAACAGGAUACCAAAGGCGAACCAGAAUACAAAAACCAUGAUACCAGCAAAGUCAAACACCAGAAAAUAAAGAUUUUUAACAGCAUGAUGAGGACUCGCUUGAGCUGCACAUGGUGCUGCUGGAACUGGAGGAUAUGGAGAAACAGAUCCGUGGCCUACUCGACAAGCAGGCCCAGCUGCUGGAGUGAAGAACUGUGCUGGAAACAUCUUGUGCUUCUGCCUACACAUCCAAGGUAAGCACGCAGCAUGGUAUUACCACUCCCAGGCUCUCUACGCCAUGUGUUUCUCUGUGCAGGGACCGUGCACCCAAGACCCAAGCAGCGAAAGGUGAGAGCCAUACCCUGGGCGAGGACCUCUCCACCUCUGGUGUUAGAGAUCCUAACCAGGAACCACUUCACCCCUCUCCGUCAGACCAGACCAAACGCUGUGAUCAUUUGGGACUCCAUUGUGCGAAACGUCCGUGUCGCUUUAACAAAGGGUAAGGUGCACACACAUUGUUUUUCUGGUGCUAUUGUCCUUGAUGUCACUGCAAAGGUACCCGGGAUCCUGAAGAAGGACGAGUGGUCGUGCUGCACGCGGGGGCAAAUGACAUCAGGCUGCGGCAGAUGGAGGUUCUGAAGAGGGACUUCGCCAGCCUGAUUGAGACGGUACGAGGCAGAUCAACCACCAUGAAGAUCAUCGUCUCUGGAGCUCUUCCCACAUAGACGUGGAGCUGAAAAGUUCAGUAGACUUCUUGCUUUGAAUGACUGGUUAGUUUCUUGGUGUAAUGAACAGAAUCUGCUGUUUGUUAAUAACUGGAAUCUGUUCUGGGAGCGACCUAGGUUGUUUUGUCCUGAUGGCCUGCACCCCAGCAGCCUUGGAACGGAACUGCUGUCAGACAACAUCUCCAAGAUGCUACACACCAAG
Ictalurus punctatus (channel catfish) is the source of this 1261-nucleotide long non-coding RNA. Lineage: Eukaryota; Metazoa; Chordata; Actinopteri; Siluriformes; Ictaluridae. The record is from Ensembl.